This 375-nucleotide ribosomal RNA is filed under the name uncultured bacterium. Its description in RNAcentral is "bacterial SSU rRNA". It matches the Rfam family "Bacterial small subunit ribosomal RNA", at positions 524 to 898 of the family's 1533-position model. The record is from RNAcentral.
UACGGAGGGUGCAAGCGUUAAUCGGAAUUACUGGGCGUAAAGCGCACGCAGGCGGUCUGUCAAGUCGGAUGUGAAAUCCCCGGGCUCAACCUGGGAACUGCAUCCGAAACUGGCAGGCUAGAGUCUUGUAGAGGGGGGUAGAAUUCCCGGUGUAGCGGUGAAAUGCGUAGAGAUCUGGAGGAAUACCGGUGGCGAAGGCGGCCCCCUGGACAAAGACUGACGCUCAGGUGCGAAAGCGUGGGGAGCAAACAGGAUUAGAUACCCUGGUAGUCCACGCCGUAAACGAUGGCGACUGGGAGGUGGUGCCCUUGAGGCGUGGCUGCCGGAGCUAACGCGUUAAGUCGACCGCCUGGGGAGUACGGCCGCAAGGUUAAA